CUACGGGAUGCUCCAGUGGGGAAUAUUGCACAAUGGGCGCAAGCCUGAUGCAGCAACGCCGCGUGAGGGAUGAAGGCCUUCGGGUUGUAAACCUCUUUUAGCAGGGAAGAAGCGAAAGUGACGGUACCUGCAGAAAAGCACCGGCUAACUACGUGCCAGCAGCCGCGGUAAUACGUAGGGUGCAAGCGUUGUCCGGAAUUAUUGGGCGUAAAGAGCGCGUAGGCGGUUUGUCACGGCUGCUGUGAAAAUCCAAGGCUCAACCUUGGACUUGCAGUGGGUACGGGCAGGCUAGAGUGCGGUAGGGGGGAUGGGAAUUCCUGGUGUAGCGGUGGAAUGCGCAGAUAUCAGGAGGAACACCAAUGGCGAAGGCACAUCUCUGGGCCGUAACUGACGCUGAGGAGCGAAAGCGUGGGGAGCGAACAGGAUUAGAUACCCUAGUAGUC
RNAcentral lists this ribosomal RNA (443 nucleotides) under uncultured bacterium. RNAcentral's name for it is "partial 16S ribosomal RNA". It matches the Rfam family "Bacterial small subunit ribosomal RNA", at positions 339 to 795 of the family's 1533-position model. The record is from RNAcentral.